AUGGAGAGCAGCAAGAAAAUCGAAUCGAGUUUGCUGGAGUUCCCCGGCCACCUCUUGGAGCGGAUAUUCCUCCGGCUGCCCGCCGCAGAGGACCUCGCCCGCACCUCCGCCGCCUGCGUUACCUUCCGCCGCCUCGUCACCGACGGCUCGUUCCUCCGCCGAUUCCGCCGCCUCCACCCACCACCACUCCUCGGCUAUCUCAACCUCGGCGGGUUCCACCCCACUCAGCCGCCUCACCCGUCCGCGCCCGCCGCCCGCUCGCUCGCCCUAGCCACCCGCGCGCUGGCGCUAGCCGCUGACUUCUCCUUUUCGUUCCUGCCUUCGCGCUGCCGAUGGGCCGUCCAGGACGUCCGCGAUGGCCGGGUCCUCCUCUUCGGCAAGCAAACCAUGAUGGCCGAGGGGCCCUCGAUCUCGAUGUUCCCGACCCGGAGCUUGUGGUGUGCGACCCCUUGCACCGGCGGUACAUCCUGCUUCCCCCAGUGCCUGAUGGCCUAG
Molecule: ribosomal RNA, 495 nt
Filed under: Triticum aestivum (bread wheat)
Lineage: Eukaryota; Viridiplantae; Streptophyta; Magnoliopsida; Poales; Poaceae
Description: partial small subunit ribosomal RNA
Source: RNAcentral